RNAcentral lists this ribosomal RNA (253 nucleotides) under uncultured bacterium. RNAcentral describes it as "partial 16S ribosomal RNA". It matches the Rfam family "Bacterial small subunit ribosomal RNA", at positions 524 to 776 of the family's 1533-position model. The record is from RNAcentral.
UACGGAGGGUGCGAGCGUUGCUCGGAAUCACUGGGCGUAAAGGGCGCGUAGGCGGGCUGCCAAGUUUGGGGUGAAAUCCUCCGGCUCAACCGGGGAAGUGCCUUGAAUACUGGCGGUCUGGAGGGAGGUAGGGGCGUGCGGAACUGUAGGUGGAGCGGUGAAAUGCGUUGAUAUCUACAGGAACUCCGGUGGCGAAAGCGGCGUGCUGGAUCUCUUCUGACGCUGAGGCUCGAAAGCUAGGGGAGCAAACGGG